CCCUUAGAUGUCCUGGGCCGCACGCGUGCUACACUGACACUUACACCGAGUUUUUCCAAUGCCGAAAGGCCAUUGGUAAUCAGCAAUAGGCGUCGUGAUGGGGAUAGAUCUUUGGAAUUAUGGAUCUUGAACGAGGAAUGCCUAGUAAGCGCAGGUCAUUAGCCUGCGCUGAUUAAGUCCCUGCCCUUUGUACACACCGCCCGUCGCUCCUACCGAUUUCGAGUGGUCCGGUGAAUCUUUCGGACUGCGCGCGGCCUCGUGCCGUGUCGCGGAAAGUCAGGUAAACCUUAUCACUUAGAGGAAGGAGAAGUCGUAACA
This 318-nucleotide ribosomal RNA is filed under the name uncultured eukaryote. Its description in RNAcentral is "partial 18S ribosomal RNA". It matches the Rfam family "Eukaryotic small subunit ribosomal RNA", at positions 1470 to 1796 of the family's 1831-position model. The record is from RNAcentral.